Molecule: ribosomal RNA, 465 nt
Filed under: uncultured bacterium
Lineage: Bacteria
Description: bacterial SSU rRNA
Rfam family: Bacterial small subunit ribosomal RNA
Source: RNAcentral
CCUANGGGGGGCUGCAGUCGAGAAUCAUUCGCAAUGGGCGAAAGCCUGACGAUGCGACGCCGUGUGAACGAUGAAGGCCUUCGGGUUGUAAAGUUCUUUCGCUUGCGAACAAGAGAGGUUGAUGAAUAAUCAGCCAAUUUGAGGGUAGUAGGUAAAGAAGCACCGGCUAACUCCGUGCCAGCAGCUGCGGUAAUACGGAGGGUGCAAGCAUUAAUCGGAAUUAUUGGGCGUAAAGGGCGCGUAGGCGGUUUGGUAAGUCAGAUGUGAAAUUCCGGAGCUCAACUUCGGAGAUGCAUUUGAAACUACCUUUCUAGAGGAUUGACGGAGAAAACGGAAUUCCACGUGUAGCGGUGAAAUGCGUAGAUAUGUGGAAGAACACCGGUGGCGAAAGCGGUUUUCUAGUUUAUUCCUGACGCUAAGGCGCGAGAGCUAGGGGAGCAAACAGGAUUAGAUACCCCUNUANUC